RNAcentral lists this ribosomal RNA (468 nucleotides) under uncultured bacterium. RNAcentral's name for it is "partial 16S ribosomal RNA". It matches the Rfam family "Bacterial small subunit ribosomal RNA", at positions 28 to 507 of the family's 1533-position model. The record is from RNAcentral.
GAUGAACGCUGGCGGCGUGCUUAAUACAUGCAAGUCGAACGGACAGGCCAUGCUUUUGCGGGGCGCACGAGUGGCGAACGGGUGAGUAACACGUGAGUAUAACGCCCCUGACUUUGGGAUAACUUUUGGAAAAUGGGGCUCAUAUAGGAUAGGAGCUACUGCUGCAUGGUGGGGGAUGGAAAGUUUCGGCGGUUGGGGCUGGACUAGCGGCUUAUCAGCUUGUUGGUGGGGUUGUGGCUUACCAAGGUUUUGACGGGUAGCCGGCCUGGGAGGGUUACCGGCCACAUUGGGACUGAGAUACGGCGCAGACGCCUACGGGAGGCAGCAGGGGGGAAUAUGGCACAAUGGGCGGAAGCCAGAGGCAGCAACGCCGCGUUCGGGAUGACGGCCUUCGAGUUGUAAACCGCUGUCGCCUUUGACGAAGCGGGAGUGACGGUAAUGAGUAAAAAAGCACCGGCUAACUACGUG